GACGAACGCUGGCGGCGUGCCUAAUACAUGCAAGUCGAACGCAGUGGGGACGGGUGAGUAACACGUGGGUAACCUCCCAUCAGAGGGGAUAACACUUGGAAACAGGUGCUAAACCGAUACUGAUGGAUGGACCCGCGGUGCAUUAGCUAGUUGGUGAGGUAACGGCUCACCAAGGCCAAGAUGCAUAGCCCGCCUGAGCGGGGGAUCGGCCACACUUGGACUGAGACACGGUCCAGACUCCUACGGGAGGCAGCAGUAGGGAAUAUUGCACAAUGGGCGCAAGCCUGAUGCAGCCAUGCCGCGUGUGUGAAGAAGGCCUUCGGGUUGUAAAGCAUUUUCAGCGGGGAGGCGUUACCCGCAGAAGAAGCACCGGCUAACUCCGUGCCAGCAGCCGCGGUAAUAC
This 403-nucleotide ribosomal RNA is filed under the name uncultured bacterium. RNAcentral's name for it is "partial 16S ribosomal RNA". It matches the Rfam family "Bacterial small subunit ribosomal RNA", at positions 28 to 526 of the family's 1533-position model. The record is from RNAcentral.